GGCAGAGGCAUGCGGUGGUGGCAGAAGGCAGGUGACGGCAGUGGGGCAGUUGACCAGAAGACCUAGGUGCGGCGCACCUAGGGUUUGAAAAUUCUUUGUUUUUUUUUUUUUUUUGUUAUGGGUUUGGGCCAUUAAGGUUUAGAUAAUUGGGCCUGUGAAUUUGGGCUUGUAGUUGGGUUCUAUUUGGGUUUGUAAUAUUUGGACUAUUUUGCUGUUUGGGUUUUGCCCUGGGCAAAUUUGGGCUUAUACAUAUA
Molecule: long non-coding RNA, 254 nt
Filed under: Gossypium raimondii (Peruvian cotton)
Lineage: Eukaryota; Viridiplantae; Streptophyta; Magnoliopsida; Malvales; Malvaceae
Description: long non-coding RNA (GRAI_LNC008218)
Source: RNAcentral